GGAGGUGAGGGCGAUCUGGCUGUGACAUCUGUCACCCCAUUGGUCACCAGGGUUGAUUUGGCUGAUCUGGCUAAGCGAGUGUCCCCUUCCUCCCUCACCACUCCACGUGUGUCCCUCCUGAACUGCACGCUCAGUCCAAGAGGAUGACCAUUCCUGAUAGAGAAGGACUGGUCUUUGGUCAAAGGUAUGCUAGUAGCUGCACUCUCCUGCUAGAACCUCCAAACAGGCUCUCAAAAGCAGGAUAGGACUAUAGUGGAGUGGGCGUUUUCCUC
Aotus nancymaae (Ma's night monkey) is the source of this 272-nucleotide unclassified non-coding RNA. Its record names the gene 7SK. It matches the Rfam family "7SK RNA". Rfam says of the family: 7SK was discovered as an abundant small nuclear RNA in the mid-70s but a possible function has only recently been suggested. Two independent studies have found that 7SK RNA binds the CDK9/cyclin T complex (known as elongation factor P-TEFb). The record is from Ensembl. Lineage: Eukaryota; Metazoa; Chordata; Mammalia; Primates; Aotidae.